RNAcentral lists this long non-coding RNA (1339 nucleotides) under Aphidius gifuensis. RNAcentral's name for it is "uncharacterized LOC122849159". Lineage: Eukaryota; Metazoa; Arthropoda; Insecta; Hymenoptera; Braconidae. The record is from RNAcentral.
AAAAAAAAAAAAAAUUAAAAAACUCAAAAAUAAGAGAUAUUUAUAUGCACGUGCACAUAUGCAAUCAUAAAAACAUAUUCUGUUGACAUUCAAAAUUUGGCAGGGUUAUAUUCAUGUCUCUUUCUAUUUUUUUAGUUUUCUAAGGCCAACCCUUACACUGUAAACUAAACGACGUCACUGAACUCCCCACCAAAGAAACCUAGCUUCGAGAUCCAACAGAAUACUCAAUACAGGCUCAAGCUCCAUACCCUUGGGCAGAUUACAGUCGACUGUUGUUGACCGUGGUCAACAGCCAUACCCAGUCAUCGUACAAGAAAUUUUUUCAAGCACUUUUUUUUCUGCAGUUUCUGACUUAAAAAUAAGUCACUACUUAAAUAUUUUUCGUGUACAAGCAAAUUUUAUGGUGUUAGUGAUUUUUUCAAAAUUGAAUUUAAGUGUUAUAUUGUGAUAAUAAUAUAUUUCUGUCUACUAUAAAUAUGUCAACAAAUUAUACAUACCAGAUUGGACCAAAACUAUGUAUUAUAUAUAUAUACAUAUUGUAUACAAAUUUUAUGUAUAAACUAUAUCAUACUUUUUCACGUGAGUUGUACAUUAACUGGACAACCGUCUAGAAUUGGAGGACACUAACACCCAGGACCGCCUGCCGAGAAUCUUCAUGUACGGGCUUGAGAUACGAUCAUAGAAUGGGCCAUGACCGUUGGUCGUCGUGCAGGUUUGCAACAACAACCAAGACGAAUGUACAUGAAAUCGAUGACUGAAAAAAUUGGUGCGAUAAAACGUAUCUUCUGGAACGAACAACGUAAUUAAGAUAAAUGUUAAAACUUUCUUUUUUUUUAUUUUACACAUUAUUAAAUAUUUUUUGAAGAAAUAUUAAGAGUAUUAAAAAAAGUACAAGUUGUUGUUACCAACAGAAAUCUACCGACAGAUUCAAGAACCCACCGCAAGGUGUCCUCUAAAGCAGUCAUACUAAAUUGGAGGAUGCGUUCAAACAAAAAAAAAAAGUUUAAUUUUAAUAAAGUUUAAGAAUAUAAUUUUUAAAGAGAAUUAAAAAUUUAAUUAAAUAAAAAAAAAACAGUUUAGAAUUGAAAUAUAUAAUUUUGGAAUUAUUGCUGCAAAUAUGUAAAACUAUUGUAACUCUGUUUUUUUAAAUCAUUGUAAGUGUAAACCAUUGGUAUUUAUAGCAAAUAAUUUCUAUUAUACUUGAAAAUAUAAAAAAAUAAAAAUAUAUACAACUUACCUUUUGUCCUUUUUAAUAAAAAAAAUUAAUAUUUUUAUGUCUAAUAAUAAGUUGUAAAUAAAUUGUUAUCAAGUUUUUUAUAUAGAUGUGAAUAGAUCUAUU